Molecule: ribosomal RNA, 453 nt
Filed under: Streptococcus sp. oral taxon C56
Lineage: Bacteria; Bacillati; Bacillota; Bacilli; Lactobacillales; Streptococcaceae
Description: bacterial SSU rRNA
Rfam family: Bacterial small subunit ribosomal RNA
Source: RNAcentral
GACGAACGCUGGCGGCGUGCCUAAUACAUGCAAGUAGAACGCUGAAGGAGGAGCUUGCUCUUCUGGAUGAGUUGCGAACGGGUGAGUAACGCGUAGGUAACCUGCCUGGUAGUGGGGGAUAACUAUUGGAAACGAUAGCUAAUACCGCAUAAUAACAGUUGUUGCAUGACAACUGUUUGAAAGGCGCAAUUGCAUCACUACCAGAUGGACCUGCGUUGUAUUAGCUAGUUGGUGGGGUAACGGCUCACCAAGGCGACGAUACAUAGCCGACCUGAGAGGGUGAUCGGCCACACUGGGACUGAGACACGGCCCAGACUCCUACGGGAGGCAGCAGUAGGGAAUCUUCGGCAAUGGACGAAAGUCUGACCGAGCAACGCCGCGUGAGUGAAGAAGGUUUUCGGAUCGUAAAGCUCUGUUGUAAGAGAAGAACGAGUGUGAGAGUGGAAAGUUCAC